ACUGUAGAGGUGAGAGCAAAUUAAGAAAAUCCGUGGGAAUAGAGGAAGAACAGGUCAGGUGUGAAUGAAAUAUUGGCCUCCUGGCUGAAUGCGUCAGUUCCUGGGCUUGCUCCAAGUGGAAGCUGACUUCGGGUUUCCUGCCUUCAUAGACCAUUUGACAGUUGAAAGAGCCUCUGUCCGGAAGAGGCCUAACUUUAUACAGGGCCACAAAUCACAGCCCGGGAAGCACUGUACCCAAGGGUGCCCUGCUUGACUUUUAAUUUAGAGGAAUCCAGUUUCAAAGAGAUUGACUUCCCAUAACCCCCGGAUUUCCUGAUGGCUUGGGAGGCUCUGGGUCAGAAACUGGCCAGUAGCUAAUGCUUCCUCUGUUCAGCAAGAAGACAUCUCCCUAGCCGGAAAAACGGUUCAAGCCUUUAAGGUCACCCGAGACUGAGAAGAAAGCGGUGCCAAGGGGCCUGACUGAUCUGUGCUUUGGUAACAGGCAGGGGAAAGUGGAGAUUGGUAUGAUCAGAAUCGACGGGGUUUUUAGACAAUUCUUUUAAGGAAAGAAAAGGGUGGGGUUUUGGGGUGUGUGGUGGGGAUCUAUUCUAAAGGGUUCACCUGGAAGAAUGCUCUUUCAGAGCUGCACAGUGUCCACCUUGCCCAUCUCUCUGAUGGACAUAUUUUACUUUUAAAUUUCUACUUCAGCAAGUGCUUUGUGUUAUUUAGGCUCAGUUAAAUAAAACCCAUUCAUGUUCUGAGCUGGAAGAGCAGAGGCCCCUGAACACCACCCUCUCUCCAGUCUCUCUGUUAUGCAUUUGCAAGCCCAGCUCUCCCUCUGGAAAAGGCUGAUGGCUCUGACCUCAGGGUUCUAUGUUUUCCCUCCAAACUCCCUGAAGUGAGAAGGAAGGGACCGAAAGGCAGGUGCCUAAGGCUAAACUUUGACCCUCCACAAAGAGAAAGGGUUAAAUAACUGUAGAGACAGGCCAUUGUAGACUAUAAAGAUUAAAACAAAACAAAAUGCCCCCAGUUUUGUGGUCAGCAGAAAGAGAGUGCAAGUCUGUCCUCCUGCCCGUUUGAAGUUGGAGGGCAGACACACAGUUCUAUGGAGUUUAGCCCCGCCUGAUUAUUUGCUUGGCCCCAGACGAUAAUUAGCUAAUAAUCUUGGGUUACAAUGAGCCUUUCUUGGGAACCCUGUAAAUAGUUCUUCUAACCUCGAAAAGUAAAACAAAGCCCACCAGGACACUUAGGGUAUUAAUCCCCAUCAAGAAAUCUUGAGAUCAUCUAUGGUUCCAUCUGCCCCAGGGCUGCAAGAAAGUUUGUUUCCUCUAUCACCAGCUGAUUUAACAGCACCUUUAGGCCUUUCUCUUUGUUUAUAUUCUAGGGACAUCAUUCCAUCGCAGGACAAAUCAUGCUUAGUCCUUUUCUUUUUCUUUUUAAUAUUUGAAGAGAGAUGGGUGAAAAUGAGGACCGAGAAGGAUAAAGCUAGCCAGAAUGAUUUUAAUCUUUUCUUUUUCUUUUUCUUUUUUCUUUUUUUCAGAGCUGGGGACCGAACCCAGGGCCUUGCGCUCGCUAGGCAAGCACUCUACCACUGAGCUAAAUCCCCAACCCCGCCAGAAUUAUUUUAGUCAACAGGUUGAAGGCAUCUUUAAAAUCAAAGCUUUUAUCGUUACUGUGGAGAGAAAAGAGUUGACUGGCUGAUGGCCAGACCUGUGCCUCAGGAAUAUAUGGCAUCUAGGCCUUCUGGCCAGAGCAGAACUCCUGAGACGUCUCUACCUGCUGCAGAGUAGACGGGACCUGGGCGCGUUCCCAAAGUGCCACUUCCAGGGCAGAGAUUCUAAUCUGAGGAAAUAAAUGCUGCUGGGCUCAACAAUAUGAAUGGCAAGUCUACUUGGGAAGACCAACAUACAGCCUGCUUGAGUUUCAGCCCUCCCCAUCCCUGAAGUACUCUCUUCCUAACCCUUCUGGUAUUUGAUAUCCCUUCAAGUCACAUAGUUAUAGACGGUUCUGAGCUUUGAUGAUUGAGAAACUCAGUUGAAGGGGGGGAGGGAUAUGUAUGUAUGAAGGGUGGCUGGAAAGAUGACUUAGCAAUUAAAAGCAAGUGCUGUUCAUCCAGAGGACCCCAGUUUCAUUCCUAGCACCCAUAUUGACUGGCUCACAACCACCUGUCACUCCAGCUCCAGAGGACACCUGCACACAUAUGAUAUAUAUAUAUAUAUAUAUAUAUAUAUAUAUAUAUAUAUAUAUAUAUAUAUAUAUAUAUAUAUUGUCUUAGCAGAAACUUUCCCCCGGGCCGGAAUCACGUGUUCUUGCUCUGAGCACUUGGAUUCAGCACUUGGUGCCGCCAUGUGCGGUCCUGGUAGUGAAGCACAGCCGUGGGUAAGGUGUUUAACUUCUCCACACCCGUGUUCUGUGGUUAGUAGGGUGGGGGGGAAGAGUGCUUUCCUUAUGACUCACCACGCUGAGAUCCAGGCUACAGAUAAGGAUGCUAACUCUGCAUGUUGCUCUGUACAGCUGUCAAAGGGAUUUUUUUUCCAUGUGAAACCAGCGACUGUCCCAGGUUCGCCAUGUGGGUGCUGGGAAUUGAACCUGGGUCCUCUGGAAGCCAGUGUGCCUAACUGCUGAGCCAUCUCUCUAGCCCCGGUUGGGGGCUUUUCUUGGGGGGAGGAUGUGGUUGUUUCACACGCUUUAGUGCCAAGUGAAUCUCCUGGCGUGUGUAUAAUUCUAGAUUGCAAAAGUCCAGCUGGGACUGAUGCUAUUGAGGAAGUAGCAAGAUUUUGGCAGGUUUCUCUGAUGAUGUUUAAGAGCCCGUGUGUUUAAGGUUUAGUGGAUAAGUGUGUACAAUUCUUUGUAUCAAUUAAAAAAAACAUUGCCAAAUAAACAAGGACAACAAAAGUUUACCAUAGCAACUAAAUGAAAUACCUGGUCCAAAAGUGAAUUGUUCACUGGGAGAACAUGUGAAAAAACAAAACAAAAACAAAAACAAAAAAUCUGAAACAUGGGCUGUGGUGGUGUUGUAAAAAUAUAAAAAAAAAAACAGUCUUUUUAUCCCCCACUUGAUCCGGCACCGCAGUGCCCCAAGUUAUCUUCUAGAUAUCUUGCCAGAAGCACACAUCCCAACUCUGUGGUGGCCCAGUGUCUCUAGCCGAGCCACACUCUCUUACUUAAAUCUACACAUGAAAGAACACACAACACAAUAACCUUUGAUCCAAUUGAUUAGCUGUAAUUGCCCACUUAAACAUACAAAGCCCUGGGCAAUCCAUCCCUGAAGAACAUUCAUAAUAACCUGUAAUGGUACAGUGUGGAAUCUUAACGUCAGCCUCCAGGUUCUCUCCCUGCAGCUACUCUGCAGUCCUUCCUCUCUCUCAUUCCAGUGUCCUCCUCUUCCUCCAAACUUUUCUCCCAACCAUCCUUCCUUCUAUCCAAUGACAGGCCUCAUUCUAUCUUGUGCCUGCCUCACUUGUGACAUCAUCCCACACAGUAGAUUAGACAAAAUAACUGCACCGCCAUUAAUUUUCACCCAAACUGAUGACGGCAUCAUAUAAAUGGGGGAUUAUAAAUAAUUAAGCAGCAUAGUGUGCAUUCACUAUUUUCUAGUUGUUGGGACAAAAUCCCUGACCAAACGACUUAAGGAUAGGAAGGCUUUGGCUCACAGUUGUAGGGAUGGUUGGUCAUGGGGCGGGUUGAGGCAGAUCUGGUCAUGUUGUAUCUAAUCAGAAAGCAUUGAGGGAGGAGGCUGGUCCUCCGUUUAUCCAUUCUAGAGCCUCAAUGCAUGGGAUGCUGCUGCCUUCCUUCACGGUGAGCCUUCCUGCCAAAAUCAACCUCACAGGGAAACCCUCACAGACACACCCCGAGUCUUGUCCACUUGGUGGAUUUUCAAUCCUGUCAGACUGACUAUGGUUAACUAGUAUGGAGGGAAACAUGAGUGGCAGGUGAAAUUGUCGAAGAGACAUAUUGCAUUCUGUGCAUUAUAGCCACUGGUUGGUGUGCCUUCUCUAUGCAUUUCACACUUGCAAUGAGAAAACUUGGAGAUUAACACAUACACACAUACAUACAUAAAAUUUCAUAUUUACCCACAUAUAUGACUUCUUCUAAAUGCCGAAUGCCAUGACUGCCAUGGGAGCCCAACUAGGAGACUGUCCCUGUUGUUGACCCCACGUUCAUUUCUGUCCUUGCAAUCCCAUGGCCCUCCUCUCUUGAUUCUCUUGCUCUCUUUCUGGCUGUUCCUGCGAGUCUCCCUCGUGCAUUCCUUUGAUUUAUGGUUUACUGUCAAAGCACUGAGUUCAUUCCCUUGCCUUCUGAUUAUUUUCAUUUCUUGGGUGUUUCUGGGGUGAACAGCUCCUCACCUUGCUCAGACAGACUUCAUGGGUCCUUUUCUACUUCCUUGUACCUCACUGCAAGUUUAGUUUUGUUCCGCCGAUCACUGUGCUACUAUUCUUAUUACUGCAGUCAUUAUUAUCAUCAUCACCAUUAUUAGCCUGUAACGUCCCGUUUGAGAGCAGAGAAUGCUAUUUUUCAUUUUUGUCUCCUCUGUGCCUAGCACAGUGCUUAAGUUCGGUAAAUGUCUGAAGAUGACAGAGUGAACCCAGAUGCUGGGCAGACACCACACCCAGCUAUCCAAGAAGACCAGAUGGCAAAUGUUAGCAUUAGAACUCCUCGUAGAAACACGAAGCCCACUGAAAUUCUGUUGUGUGAGCAUAUGUUUAUGUGAAUUACCUCUCUGGAUGGUCUCACGAUACCAAUAGCAUCUGGGGAAGACACCUGAGCCAAGUUUCCUCUGUAAAUUAUUUCUGGUCUUUCCCUCACCCUCAGGCCUAAACAAUAGGCUGUCAAGUUAUUAAAAAGAGGAAGCGUGUUUCUUAUGGGGAAAAUUAUCAUGCCAAUAUACUGAAAUAAAACAAAACAAACACUUCCAGAGAAGGAAGGUUGUGGCCUCUAAGGAGCCGUGGCCUCCAAGGUCUGAGUCACCACUCUCCCUCAAAGAGAAUUUGGAAGACCGAUGAGUGGUGGUGAACAGGAGAGAUGUCCUUAGCCUACAUGGGCUUGGACUCAAUGCAGUUCAACAAACAUGGUUCUGUCUGCACUUUGGCUUAGCUUUACUCAGGUUAGGAUGGAAGGACGUAGGAAAGAGAUAAUUUCUGACCAUAAAAGUUCACAGUCCAGUCAAAACAUCAGAUUGAGAGAAACGAAGGAAGAACUAACCAGGAAAGCUGGUGGGACCAGGCAGGCUUUUUCUCAGCUCGUUGUGGCCGCACCCAUUCCUGUUUGGAGACUACUCUAUGAUAACUGAUUUCCCUUGAGAGCACAGGAUGGCAACUGUAAUUUUCAGGUUUAUAUCUCUCCUGACUAAGACAGAGGGUCAAACCAAGCUAGGGUCUAAGUCUAGUUUUACAUGUAAAUUAUGUAAGUAUUAACCACGUUUACUGAAUACAUUGUAAAAUAGAUAUAGUUUCUGGCCUACAUAUUUGUUAUUUCUCUGUACUGGAAGCAUUUGAAAUCCUUUAUCUAGAUAUUUGAAGUGACCAAAUCAUUGUUUGCUAUUAUGGUGUUUCUAUGUGACAGAACACUAUAACCAACUCCUGUCUGGCUGUGUGUUUUGGUGCCUAUGAUCUAUCUUCCUUCUUUCCCUGUCCCCCCUUCUCAGACUCUGCUGAUCCUCAUUCUUAUCUUUACUUCUACAUGACCAACACCAACAUUCUCAGUGUCUAUGCAUGAGUGAGAACAUGAGGCAUUCGAGUCAUGAGGACUUGACUGAUAGAGGGACAGUGGGGAGGGGUCAAGGUGGUCUUCGUGAGAGCACCAGGCUAGCCUAAGGCAGAAUUCAGAUUUGUUUUUUGUUCUCUCUACCUGUUUGUAAGCAUGACUCUCAGCUGGGUCUGAAACAUGGAAGGAGAUGAUGUAGCUGUUCUCAUUUUACCCCUUCUGGAAUCUGAUGACAACCAGUGGCUGAAGUUACUGACCCCUGGCCCAGACUUGGCUGCUGUCCUUAGACACUGACGUCAGACAGCUGGCAGCUGAACCCUGGAGGACUCACGGCUGAACCCUGGAGGACUCUCAGCUGAACCCUGGAGGACUCACAGCUGAACCCUGGAGGACUCUCAGCUGAAUCAUGGAGGACUCACGGCUGAACCCUGGAGGACUCACAGCUGAACCCUGGAGGACUCUCAGCUGAACCCUGGAGGACUCUCAGCUGAACCCUGGAGGACUCUCAGCUGAACCCUGGAGGACUCUCAGCUGAACCCUGGAGGACUCUCAGCUGAACCCUGGAGGACUCUCAGCUGAACCCUGGAAGACUCACAGCUGAACCCUGGAGGACUCACAGCUGAACCCUGGAGGACUCUCAGCUGAAUCAUGGAGGACUCACGGCUGAACCAUGAGGGGCUUAUGCUUUCUUUGCUAACACUGAAGGAGGAAGGAAGGCAAUCCUUGAGCUACAGAGGAGGCCAGGUAGACACACAGAAGAUGCAGAAAAGGCCUAGCCAGACCCCUGUCCUUGGGAGCCAGAAGUGUGCCAUUGUGAUCAGCAUACAACCCCAACUCCAGAAAACAGUGCAAGAACAGAGAAAGGAGCCAAGAAAAGUUACUUGAGGCAGACAAGAAGGUGAAGGAAGAUACGGUGCAUCAAGUCUACUGAUGAAGAGAGACUCUAACUGGACCAGACCAUGCUGUGGUAGCGGACAUCGGGAGGUGAAGGGUCUGAGCUCUUUCCUCACACGGAGGGGAGAUGUGAGAUGUAACACGUGGGAGAGCGUCAGAAAGCACAUCGGAGGCUGAGGAGGGGCAAGUGAAGCAGACACGGAGACCAGGAGCCAUGAUGGGGAGAGGAGCCAAGAGAGACUAUGACAGCUAAGUAAUGGAGCAGGGAAUCAGGAGGGCUUGGUGCUUUAUGGAAUGCUCUAGAAUAGACCACAAGGCUGAUGACACUUUCUAAAAUAGGACAACUCUUACUACAGAGAGUAAGUUAAUUCUAGCUCUGAAAAUCCACACUGUAGAAAAGGGUCUAUUUCGCUUCAUUUUAAACUGUCUUCAAAUCUGGGCAUGGUGGUAAAUAUACCUGUAACCCUUGCACUUGGGGAACCGAGGCAGGAGGAUCAUGAGUUGGAGGUCAUUCACAGCUGCUUCACGAGACCUUGUCAGAGGAAUAAAAAGUGGCUUUAGAAGUAUUUUCGCUUGAUGCUGUAUUGGGAUAACCUGAUAUACAAGUUGAAACAUAUAUGACUGUUUAGAUGCCUUGAAUUUCACCUGGAGGUUCUCACAGCCGUGAGGAGUUCCUUACAUAUCACAACUCAGAGGUGAAUAUGAAGAGACAACACAGGUGUGGCCACCAUCCAUGGAGGGGCUUUCAUGAGUCUGUCUGGUCUCAUCCGUCUUGGGUUAGCGACUAAACAACGAUGUCGAUUUCUUCCAAACACUUAGCGUUUGCUAGAGUGAUGGACAGUGCCAUGGAUGGAUACAUUCAAACAGUGAAUACGUGGAGCCUGAAAAAUCUCCAUGAGAAACAGGAGGGACUUGAUUCAGGUCCCAGAAAUCUCUAUGAGCACCAGUGCUGUCACCCAGAGCCUUGGCAAUCUUACCAGUGGGUUAAAUGCCCCCUUGCUGGUGUUGUUUCACCAAUAUGAAUACACACCAUUCUCUUAGGCACUGAACCCCCUAAGUUUUGCAAGGAACUAUUUUACAGAAGCUCACCGGUUAUCUUAGGUUACAUGGACUACUUUCUACCUAAUGCUGCUCCUCUGGGGAUCUGUGCCCAGGUUCCACUCUCCUAGCCACACAGAUAGAAUGACCCAAUUGUGCCUUUAGCUUCCUCUAAAUGCAGCCUAUCGAUUUUCUUUCUCCCACAGUAAGCAGGGUUAUUUUGGUUGUUCCAAAGCAAUUAGGUAAACGAGCAUUCGGCUGGACUGUCCUUCUACCUUGAAGGAUUCUCUCUCUUCUCUGUUAGGGCCUUAAGAGCUUUAGUCCCUUCUAGAGCCAAGAGUAGCUUUUCUGCACCAAUAAGCAAAAGCAUUACAAUAUUAAUAACCCUCGGCCACGGGUUUAGCUUCCUCACCUUCUUACCAUGCUUGAAUGGUUCUCUCUGAGUGUGAAGUAAUCAAUAGUGGCCAGAAAUUCAUUCGGGCUCUCACACACUCCAUGGAGUUUCCAAAAUAAGCUAGUGGCAAGCAUUUAAUUAGCUCAUUUUGUUUCUGCCAAGGCAGAGGCGCAGACUUGAAGAGUCCAGGAACUGGGAUAAAAUAUAGUUGUUUCAGAAGUUUCUAUACCUGGUAGUAAAUAGAGAUGGGAUUCAGCAGACACGUGAUUCUGUCUCUUCUAUUCUCUCUGUGGAUCUGGGUGUGUCUUUUUAGAGUCUUGACUCCCAUUUUUCUUUGGUUAGGAUGAGCAAGGUGUCCUUAGAUUAAGCAAGGUUUCCUCUGUCACUAGAGUCUAGCACUAUGUGCCAGUCGCCAUGCCGAGGAUUGAUGAUAAAAGAUGCACCAGACAUGCCAAGUAGGAAAAGAAGGAGGCAGGCUUAGACAAGCGUUGGCUCUGGACUGCAAAGGGUUCUAGGCUAGGACUGUGUGGAGAGACUCGUGAGUACCUCAGGGCUGGGACUGAGCCAGCCUCUGGAGCACAGCUAGCUAUCCCUGCAACUCAGGAGACUGAGGAUCUCAUGUUUUUGUUUGUUCGUUUGUUUUUGUAGCAGGGAAGGAUUUACCUUCUCUCUGGGUCUAGGCAACAACAUUUAUUUUGCCCCUCACAAGGCAUCCCAAGAAAGGAAGUUUCUCUUCGGAUGUUUGUGUUGGGAGCUAUGGGCGUUUUGCUGAUAGCUAUCAGUGGUUUUGAAGUCUCUGUGUUUCCAUCAAGAUGAGCAGGCAAUGAAUCUCACGCACAUACAGGAAAAGGUCCAAGUGAACUCCAGGUGAAGAGGAAACAGAGAUUAGCUGGACUGGAAAGGGCUCCCGCUGCACAGGCAGGAAACCCAAGAGGGUAUAUGCACAGGCCGAAGGUUAGAAUUCCUCCAGCCUGCCUUUGGUUCAGCUCCAAUCCAUGAGUCAACAGUCCUAACAUACUCGUAUGUAUGCAUGGGAAUCUAACGCAUGCGUCCAUUGGAGAAAAUAAAAGCACCACGUAGGUGACAGAUCUGACCUCAAUGGCUGCAGCCUCUUGUUAUUUUGUCUUUGACUGGAUUCAGAAGAGUAGAGGCCAUUCAUACAAAUGCCUACUGCCAGGGGUGCAUAAACAUGACCCACGGAAAGAUUCCUGUCUGGGUAGCAAGAUGGCGCAGGACAUAAUGGCAUUUGCUGCCCAAGCCUAUGCUUGAUCCCUGGAAGCCUCAUGGAAGUGGAAGGAGAGAACUUCCUUCUCAAAGUUGUCCUCUGAUUGCCACUUGUGUGCAAUCAUGUGCACGCCGUGGCACAUGUACCCAACAUACACUGGUAACAAACAAAAGGGCCUUAGAGAUGGCUCAGUGGGUAAAGACUCUUGUUACCAAGACUGGGGACCUGACUUUGACCCAGGGUGUGUGUAGUGGAACGGGAGAGCUGACUCCUGAAAGUUAUGCUAUGACUUUUACCCUCAUGCUGGGGCAUGCACCCCUCAGGGGCACCCCUGCAUCCACCUCUGAGAGAGAGAGAGAGAGAGAGAGAGAGAGAGAGAGAGAGAGAGAGGUCCAGAAAGAGACAGAAUUAGAAAGAGGGUGGGGACAAAGAGAGACAGAGACAGAGAG
Rattus norvegicus (Norway rat) is the source of this 9682-nucleotide non-coding RNA. NCBI's taxonomy places the organism in Eukaryota, Metazoa, Chordata, Mammalia, Rodentia, Muridae. The record is from RefSeq and is a predicted model, not a curated record.